RNAcentral lists this ribosomal RNA (250 nucleotides) under uncultured bacterium. RNAcentral describes it as "partial 16S ribosomal RNA". It matches the Rfam family "Bacterial small subunit ribosomal RNA", at positions 524 to 773 of the family's 1533-position model. The record is from RNAcentral.
UACGGAGGGGGCUAGCGUUGUUCGGAUUUACUGGGCGUAAAGCGCACGUAGGCGGCAUAUUAAGUUAGAGGUGAAAGGCCUGGGCUCAACCUAGGAACGGCCUUUAAUACUGGUAUGCUUGAGUUCGGAAGAGGGUAGUGGAAUUCCAAGUGUAGAGGUGAAAUUCGUAGAUAUUUGGAAGAACACCGGUGGCGAAGGCGGCUACCUGGUCCGAUACUGACGCUGAGGUGCGAAAGCGUGGGGAGCGAAC